AACAUCGCGCACCUGCGGGAACCUGCGGAGGGAUCAUUACAGAGUUGCAAAACUCCCUAAACCAUUGUGAACGUUACCUAAACCGUUGCUUCGGCGGGCGGCCCGGGUCCUUCCCGGCGCCCAUCGGCCCUCGCGGGCGCCCGCCGGAGGUAAACCAAACUAUUGCAUUGUAUGGCCUCUCUGAGUCUCCUGUACUGAAUAAGUCAAAACUUUCAACAAUGGAUCUCAGAUCGGAAGAGC
Molecule: unclassified non-coding RNA, 240 nt
Filed under: soil metagenome
Description: partial contains 5.8S ribosomal RNA, internal transcribed spacer 2, and large subunit ribosomal RNA
Source: RNAcentral